RNAcentral lists this ribosomal RNA (509 nucleotides) under Bacillus sp. (in: firmicutes). RNAcentral's name for it is "bacterial SSU rRNA". It matches the Rfam family "Bacterial small subunit ribosomal RNA", at positions 22 to 511 of the family's 1533-position model. Lineage: Bacteria; Bacillati; Bacillota; Bacilli; Caryophanales; Bacillaceae. The record is from RNAcentral.
GCUCAGGAUGAACGCUGGCGGCGUGCCUAAUACAUGCAAGUCGAGCGAAUGGAUUGAGAGCUUGCUCUCAAGAAGUUAGCGGCGGACGGGUGAGUAACACGUGGGUAACCUGCCCAUAAGACUGGGAUAACUCCGGGAAACCGGGGCUAAUACCGGAUAACAUUUUGAACUGCAUGGUUCGAAAUUGAAAGGCGGCUUCGGCUGUCACUUAUGGAUGGACCCGCGUCGCAUUAGCUAGUUGGUGAGGUAACGGCUCACCAAGGCAACGAUGCGUAGCCGACCUGAGAGGGUGAUCGGCCACACUGGGACUGAGACACGGCCCAGACUCCUACGGGAGGCAGCAGUAGGGAAUCUUCCGCAAUGGACGAAAGUCUGACGGAGCAACGCCGCGUGAGUGAUGAAGGCUUUCGGGUCGUAAAACUCUGUUGUUAGGGAAGAACAAGUGCUAGUUGAAUAAGCUGGCACCUUGACGGUACCUAACCAGAAAGCCACGGCUAACUACGUGCCAG